CCUACGGGGGGCAGCAGUGGGGAAUAUUGCACAAUGGGCGCAAGCCUGAUGCAGCCAUGCCGCGUGUGUGAAGAAGGCCUUCGGGUUGUAAAGCACUUUCAGCGGGGAGGAAGGCGGUGAGGUUAAUAACCUCAUCGAUUGACGUUACCCGCAGAAGAAGCACCGGCUAACUCCGUGCCAGCAGCCGCGGUAAUACGGAGGGUGCAAGCGUUAAUCGGAAUUACUGGGCGUAAAGCGCACGCAGGCGGUCUGUCAAGUCGGAUGUGAAAUCCCCGGGCUCAACCUGGGAACUGCAUUCGAAACUGGCAGGCUAGAGUCUUGGAGAGGGGGGUAGAAUUCCAGGUGUAGCGGUGAAAUGCGUAGAGAUCUGGAGGAAUACCGGUGGCGAAGGCGGCCCCCUGGAUAAAGACUGACGCUCAGGUGCGAAAGCGUGGGGAGCAAACAGGAUUAGAUACCCUAGUAGUC
Molecule: ribosomal RNA, 465 nt
Filed under: uncultured Klebsiella sp.
Lineage: Bacteria; Pseudomonadati; Pseudomonadota; Gammaproteobacteria; Enterobacterales; Enterobacteriaceae
Description: bacterial SSU rRNA
Rfam family: Bacterial small subunit ribosomal RNA
Source: RNAcentral